Molecule: ribosomal RNA, 93 nt
Filed under: Photobacterium phosphoreum
Lineage: Bacteria; Pseudomonadati; Pseudomonadota; Gammaproteobacteria; Vibrionales; Vibrionaceae
Description: partial 16S ribosomal RNA
Rfam family: Bacterial small subunit ribosomal RNA
Source: RNAcentral
GGCGUUUACCACGGUGUGGUUCAUGACUGGGGUGAAGUCGUAACAAGGUAGCCCUAGGGGAACCUGGGGCUGGAUCACCUCCUUACCUAAAGA